RNAcentral lists this long non-coding RNA (362 nucleotides) under Eutrema salsugineum. Its description in RNAcentral is "long non-coding RNA (ESAL_LNC001614)". The record is from RNAcentral. Lineage: Eukaryota; Viridiplantae; Streptophyta; Magnoliopsida; Brassicales; Brassicaceae.
AGUUGAAAUGAAGAGUUUGGAGGAACUCGGAUUCUCUCAUGAAACCUCCGAGUGGGCUUGCCCAGCCUUCGCUCAAGACGUGCAUCCAUUGCAGGUCGAUCGCGGUCAGCUCUACGCGCGGCAGCUCCGCCGCCUCGUGCUUCUUCUCUCGCCGCCGUGGCUCCUCCACGACGAGCUCCACCAGCUUCCCGCCAUCGGGCGCGAUCAGACCAGCUCGGAUUCCUCCGCGAAGGGUUCGCGAUUUCGAAGGGAAGGAAACGGAAGCGGCGGUUGCGGCGGCGAAGGGGAAAUCGGGAUUGAUAGAUUUGGUUAGUGGCUGAGAAAGGAAAGCGGUUUUGCUGAGAACGGCAGCCAUUGAAGCC